GCGGCGCUAAUUCAGUGGCAGAAUGUCAGCUUCCCAAGCUGAAUAUGCGGGUUCGAUUCCCGUGCGCCGCU
RNAcentral lists this transfer RNA (71 nucleotides) under Erysipelotrichaceae bacterium. RNAcentral describes it as "tRNA-Gly". It matches the Rfam family "tRNA". From Rfam's summary of the family: Transfer RNA (tRNA) molecules are approximately 80 nucleotides in length. Lineage: Bacteria; Bacillati; Bacillota; Erysipelotrichia; Erysipelotrichales; Erysipelotrichaceae. RNAcentral also lists the same sequence under 1 other name. The record is from RNAcentral.